GCACCCAUUGCUCUGCUGAAUGGAGCGCCAUCCUCCGGAGGUGGAGGCCUCAGGUUCGAAUCCUGAUGGGUGCGCCA
RNAcentral lists this transfer RNA (77 nucleotides) under Brucella anthropi. RNAcentral's name for it is "tRNA-Arg". It matches the Rfam family "tRNA". From Rfam's summary of the family: Transfer RNA (tRNA) molecules are approximately 80 nucleotides in length. The record is from RNAcentral. Lineage: Bacteria; Pseudomonadati; Pseudomonadota; Alphaproteobacteria; Hyphomicrobiales; Brucellaceae.